GAGUAAUGUCUGGGAAACUGCCUGAUGGAGGGGGAUAACUACUGGAAACGGUGGCUAAUACCGCAUAACGUCGCAAGACCAAAGAGGGGGACCUUCGGGCCUCUUGCCAUCAGAUGUGCCCAGAUGGGAUUAGCUUGUUGGUGAGGUAACGGCUCACCAAGGCGACGAUCCCUAGCUGGUCUGAGAGGAUGACCAGCCACACUGGAACUGAGACACGGUCCAGACUCCUACGGGAGGCAGCAGUGGGGAAUAUUGCACAAUGGGCGCAAGCCUGAUGCAGCCAUGCCGCGUGUAUGAAGAAGGCCUUCGGGUUGUAAAGUACUUUCAGCGGGGAGGAAGGUGUUGUGGUUAAUAACCGCAGCAAUUGACGUUACCCGCAGAAGAAGCACCGGCUAACUCCGUGCCAGCAGCCGCGGUAAUACGGAGGGUGCAAGCGUUAAUCGGAAUUACUGGGCGUAAAGCGCACGCAGGCGGUCUGUCAAGUCGGAUGUGAAAUCCCCGGGCUCAACCUGGGAACUGCAUUCGAAACUGGCAGGCUUGAGUCUUGUAGAGGGGGGUAGAAUUCCAGGUGUAGCGGUGAAAUGCGUAGAGAUCUGGAGGAAUACCGGUGGCGAAGGCGGCCCCCUGGACAAAGACUGACGCUCAGGUGCGAAAGCGUGGGGAGCAAACAGGAUUAGAUACCCUGGUAGUCCACGCCGUAAACGAUGUCUACUUGGAGGUUGUGCCCUUGAGGCGUGGCUUCCGGAGCUAACGCGUUAAGUAGACCGCCUGGGGAGUACGGCCGCAAGGUUAAAACUCAAAUGAAUUGACGGGGGCCCGCACAAGCGGUGGAGCAUGUGGUUUAAUUCGAUGCAACGCGAAGAACCUUACCUGGUCUUGACAUCCACAGAAGAAUCCAGAGAUGGAUUUGUGCCUUCGGGAACUGUGAGACAGGUGCUGCAUGGCUGUCGUCAGCUCGUGUUGUGAAAUGUUGGGUUAAGUCCCGCAACGAGCGCAACCCUUAUCCUUUGUUGCCAGCGGUUAGGUCGG
This 1029-nucleotide ribosomal RNA is filed under the name Salmonella enterica. Its description in RNAcentral is "bacterial SSU rRNA". It matches the Rfam family "Bacterial small subunit ribosomal RNA", at positions 108 to 1134 of the family's 1533-position model. The record is from RNAcentral. Lineage: Bacteria; Pseudomonadati; Pseudomonadota; Gammaproteobacteria; Enterobacterales; Enterobacteriaceae.